UUAGAGAGUUUGAUCCUGGCUCAGGGUGAACGCUGGCGGCGCGCUUAAUGCAUGCAAGUCGCGCGUGUCCGUGGCUUCGGCCACAUAUGGAAAAGCGGCAGACGGCUGAGUAACGCGUGAGUAACCUGCCCUCUGGUGGGGUAUAGCCACGAGAAAUCGUGAUUAAUCCCGCAUAAGAUCUCUUUACCUUGGUAUUGAGAUGAAAGCCUUCGGGCGCCGGAGGAGGGGCUCGCGUCCUAUCAGGUUGUUGGUGAGGUAAUGGCUCACCAAGCCUAUGACGGGUAGCUGGUCUGAGAGGACGACCAGCCAGAGGGGGACUGAGACACGGCCCCCACUCCUACGGGAGGCAGCAGCAGGGAAUC
RNAcentral lists this ribosomal RNA (362 nucleotides) under SAR202 cluster bacterium. RNAcentral's name for it is "bacterial SSU rRNA". It matches the Rfam family "Bacterial small subunit ribosomal RNA", at positions 1 to 363 of the family's 1533-position model. The record is from RNAcentral. Lineage: Bacteria; Bacillati; Chloroflexota; Dehalococcoidia.